Molecule: ribosomal RNA, 440 nt
Filed under: uncultured bacterium
Lineage: Bacteria
Description: partial 16S ribosomal RNA
Rfam family: Bacterial small subunit ribosomal RNA
Source: RNAcentral
CCUACGGGGUGCUGCAGUGGGGAAUCUUGCACAAUGGGGGAAACCCUGAUGCAGCGACGCCGCGUGAGUGAAGAAGUAUUUCGGUAUGUAAAGCUCUAUCAGCAGGGAAGAAAAUGACGGUACCUGACUAAGAAGCCCCGUCUAACUACGUGCCAGCAGCCGCGGUAAUACGUAGGGGGCAAGCGUUAUCCGGAUUUACUGGGGGUAAAGGGAGCGUAGACGGUGAUGCAAGUCAGAAGUGAAAGCCCGGGGCUCAACUCCGGGACUGCUUUUGAAACUGGGUGUCUGGAGUGGGGGAGAGGUAAGCGGAAUGCCCGGUGUAGCGGUGAAAUGCGUAGAUAUCAGGAGGAACACCAGUGGCGAAGGCGGCUGACUGGACGGUGACUGACGCUGAGGCUCGAAAGCGUGGGGAGCAAACAGGAUUAGAUACCCCUGUAGUC